UGACCAAGGGGCCGGGCUGUUCUGAUUGUUGCAGGAUCGGAGUGGCCUAGGGGGUACAGGGAGUGCCUCCAGCAAUGGGCCGGGUCAGGAAAGGC
RNAcentral lists this non-coding RNA (95 nucleotides) under unclassified sequences. RNAcentral describes it as "ivy-DE RNA". It matches the Rfam family "ivy-DE RNA". The record is from RNAcentral.